Molecule: long non-coding RNA, 5370 nt
Filed under: Coffea arabica (coffee)
Lineage: Eukaryota; Viridiplantae; Streptophyta; Magnoliopsida; Gentianales; Rubiaceae
Description: long non-coding RNA (CARA_LNC002103)
Source: RNAcentral
AUUUGAAUUGCUGUCUGAGGCUUUGGGACUAAGAAAAAGUUAUCUGAAAGAUAUUGGCUGUGCUGAGGGGCUUUACUUCGUUGGGCACUACUACCCACCUUGUCCUGAACCCGAAUUAACUCAGGCGGCUAUUGCCCAUAGUGAUUUAGCCUUCCUGAAUAUGCUCCUGCAAGAUCAAAUCGGUGGUCUUCAAGUGCUUCACCAAAAUGAAUGGGUUGAUGUCACUCCCUUGCCUGGAGCUAUGGUCGUGAACUUUGGAGACAUGAUGCAGGUAAAGAUUUAGGUGUACUUUGAGCUCCAAGCACAAGAAAUUUUGUAAUUGCAAGUAUGCAUAUUUAAACAUGAUUCUAUUCAAGCGUGUGUAUGGAUUGAAGAUUCAUAGCAUGCCGUACACUUGCUAAUCUUUCUGUAUUUCCCAAGUGCAGCUGAUCACAAAUGAUAAAUUCAAAAGCAGUAAGCACAGAGUACUGGCGAAAAAGGUUGGCCCUAGAAUUUCAGUGGCAACCUUCAUGAGGCCCGCGAGAAAUGAAGUAGUUACAUCGCGAAUGUAUGAGCCAAUUGAGGAGUUGCUCUCAGAUGAAAAUCCCCCAAUCUAUAAAAGGACAACGAUAAAAGACUGCAUGGCCCAGCUCUACUCGAACUUAAGCGCCGGUGAUGGGAGUUCUGCAUUGCUACAUUUCAAGGUCUGAAAGGCAGUGAAAGAGGAAAUUUCUUUUGCUGUGUCUUGCUAUGUUGAUUGUGUGCGUGAAGAUAACCACCCGUGUGAAAAUUUGGGUUCACCUAAAAUAACGAUUUUAGCUAUACGCUUAAACGAUACAUACAAACAUUGAAAUUCCUAAAAAUAAGAGGUGGAUUAUCUUGUAAUUUACAUCUAUUGUCGUCUGUUGUACAAGUCGCUGUGUGUGUCUGAAGGAUUUAUUGUCUUAUUACAGGUGUAUCAUACCUGAGAACUUGUGGUAUUCCUACAGAAAUAUGUGCCCAAAAAAGAGUUGCUUGAUUUUUCAUUUCCCUCGUACAAGUAAUAGUAGUAGUUGAAGCAAGAAAUGAGUGAGACCCUCUAGAAAAUUCGGCCAUGGCAUUCUGUAAAUGGUCAUAAAUCAAUGGAUUGGCAUUGGAUCGUUAAGUUAUUAUCUACGGAGUACAUGUAACUUCCAAUUCCUCUUCCCCAAGAUGAAAAAAUAGAGGUUUUAUUCCUUCUUUUAGGUUAAAGUAAUUUAGGCAAGAAAGUCCCAAGAUAGUAGAAGUAGCUGGCCUUGGGAUUUGUACUGCUGCUUCAGUCUAAAAUAUUUUUGCUUCCAAAUGAGCUUUCUUGAAAUGCCCGUCUCUAAAGGAGUUAUUUGAGUAUCUCUUUGAUUUAGUCAGGUUGUUAUAAGUACUGCACCAAGUCUAACACAAAUUAGUACAACUAUGCGAUACUAAAAGUUAAUAUAUCGAUAUUUCUAGUUACUUCUUUUGCUUUUCCUUUUUCCAUGAAAAAUAAAUUAUGAUAAUACCACUGAAAUUGUUUGAUUUUUAAUUAGCUACAUGAACAAGUUUUAAAUUUUCUUUUCGAGUUUGAUGGUCUAAAUUUGAGCAGUAAUCAAAAAUUAAUUAUUUGCUAGCCAUUGCGGUUGGCCCAAUGACUAAGAGAAGGCUAUUUAUUAUACUUUUUAUGUAGUAAUAUUCUCUCCGUCUCAUUGAGAAUAUCCUACUAUCCAUUGCAGGAUGUCCUAAAAUAUGUGUCUUCUUUAAAAGUCAAAACACCUUUUAAUCUUUCUUUCCAAUAUAUAAUCCAUUUCGCUAAUCAUAUGCAUGUUACCAUUCAAAUUCAAAUUUCGAAUUUGUGAGAGUAAAAUUAGAAAGAAAAAUACAAACAUCACAAACAAAACUACUACUCUUAAAAAGUUGGAUUCCUGAAACAAAGCCAAAUAAUUAGGGAUUGAGGAAGUACUAAUGAUGAACCAUUAUUUUCUUCUAAAUCAAUAGAUAUGAUAUAACGAAUUUCAAUCAUCAUAAUAAAUUAAAAAGAGCAUAAUUUGAAACUUCAAUCAUUAAUUAUUAAGGUAUAAUUGAAAUAACAAAAUCUAAAAUUACAAUGAUGCUAUGGAUAGGAGAUUAUUUGAAAUAAUUACUGUAACACUUUUUAUGAUGUGAUGUAUGUGAGAUAAAAAAUUAAUUGAAAAGAUAAAAAAGUGUGUUGAAAAUUAUAUUUAUGAUGCAAAUAAAUAAUUUGAAGCCAAAAAAUGGCUAUCCAAACAUUACAAUUGAAUAUGGACCAAUAAUGAAUUUGUCGGCAUAUUAUUUAAUACCGGUUAAUUUUGAUGGACCAGAGCCCUCCAAUUUCGUCUUGUACCGAAAAUAGUAAAGAAGAUUAUGUCACCAUAUCAGUGCCCACUCCGGUUAGAGCAAACAGGAACACAAUGCCCUACAACCACCAGCGAUCUAUUUGGGCUGCAGCCAGGAAACAAUGCCCUACAACCAGUUUUGGGUCACUCCAUCUUUAAACAUUAGAUCGGGAUUUUGAACUUUACCUGCAACGAUAAAAAUUAAAAAAUUCAAGGUGGUGUAUUCAAGUUUUUAUACCAACUAACUAGUCCCUUAUACACAAGUCUCUUGUAAUGUUUAUGAUUUUAUUGGUCCAAGAGUGUAAGCAAUUUUAUGAUGUGGGUCAAUGUUGAACUAAAUAUGAAUUGCUCUAUUUGUGGUCCAUGGCACUGUGACUAAUUAUUUCUUUCCUUUUUUUUUUGGGAGGAAUGUGACUAAUUAUUUCAUUGUUACUUUAGCCUUCUUGCUGUCACGCUUCUAUCUCUAAUGUUCGUGACAGGUAAAAGUAGUCCAUCAUGGUGGGCCAGUCGUUGCCCGUUGGGGAAGGUAUCAAUAAAUAAAUAAUGCAUCUGUCAGACUCUCAGUAUAGAAAAUUUGAAGCGUGUUGGAUCUUUUUGGGCAUCCAGAAACGACAAAUUUGCAUUUGACCAAGGGAUAAUUUCACAAACCUCUCUUGAGAUUUCUGAUAAUUUCAUUGAACUCCCCUGAAGUUUAAAAAAUUACACAUACCUCCGUUCAUUUGAUAAUUUUAGUAACAAAACCUUAAAAUAAAAUUGUCUUGGUCAAAUUUUUAAAUGAAUACCCAAAAAUGCUCUUGUGUAAUGAGUUUUAAUUUACUUCCCUAUAAAAUUAUAAAAUUAUCUAAUGUGAUUAUACGAAAAAGGUGGCGAAUUUUUCAUAUCUAUACCUACUAUUUGAUAAAUAACUAUAAUAAUAAUUUUAUCACUAUGAUAGGAUACUUUUGAUGGUAUUUUAUUAUGAAUUUAGAUUUAUAAGACAGAGAAUAAAAUGUUGAAAUAAUUGAUUCAGAGUUUAAGAAUUUUUUGAGUAGUGGGAUUAUUAUAAUUUAGUAGUGAUUUUGAGCAAUUUCUUUUCGAUUUAUUGUUAAUUUUAAUACCAAAAAAUAAAAAACAAAGAUUAGCAAAAAAAAUAUCGGAUUACGUAUAAAGUUAACGCAUCAAAAUAAUCAUUAGUUCGACAUUUGGUUAUAAUAGAAACUAGAGAUAAUAGUGGUAAUUUUACAAUUUUAUGAGCAAAAAAUUAAAAUAAAAAGGAAUAAGAAUGAAAAAAUAAUUUUAAAGUCAUUCUAAGUAUAAGCAUACCAAACAAGGGAAUUCAUUAAAAUAUUUAAGGGUAGUAUUGUCAUUUUAAAUGACAAGAGAGGUAUAUGUAAUUUUUCAAAUCUCAGAGGCCUCAGUGAAAUUGAUAGAGACCUUAGGGGAGGUUUCUGAAACCAUCCCUUGAUGAAAUUGUAAAUAAUGAAUCUGUCAGUAUUGAAACGUGUUGCCGUCGAUCUUGGGCAUACAGAAACGGCAAUUGAAACGUGAUGCCAUCGAUCUUGGGUAUACAGAAACGACAAAUUUGCAUUAUAGAGUUCCUCAUAAAAUAAUAUCUGGGGAAGCUAGAGCUUUUUUUUUAUUACUAGUAAAAUGUGCCUUCAGAUUAUAUCGCAUCUCUUCUUCGUUGUUUUUUAAACUAACGCACGCAACUUGGCAAGCUGUCAUAUUUCUUGUCUCUCUGUUUGACUAGUAAUUUUGCAAAGGCUUUGGAGACUGCCAAUCAAACUCAAAAUUCAUUUUAUUUAUAGCUCGAGGUUCUUUUUUUGAGGUUCAUUCACUAUUGCAUUUUAAUAGUAAUAUUAAUUAAGUAAAUUCCUGGUAAGCAUUGGGUGAUCUGAAACUAUGGUUACAAAUAACCAUUCUUUGAGAAACAGCCCACCUCAAUAGUUCGUCAACCCUAGCACCUCUCUGGAGAAAAAAAUAUGGUGGUCACAAGCAGUGUUGGAGAAGUUCAACCCGUGGUUUCGCCUGACUAUGAUCGAGAACAAGAAUUCAGAGCAUUCUUUGAUUCUAAAGCUGGUGUGAAGGGAAUAAUCGAUUCAGGCGCGACAAAGAUUCCUCGAAUUUUUGUCCACGAUUUUGAUAAGCCUGAGGACAAGCCGUGUCCUGGAAACUCCAAUCUUUCCAUUCCCGUCAUAGAUAUUGGAGGCAUCAACCAAGAUGCAGAUACGCGCUCAGACACUGUUGAUAAAAUUCGUGCUGCAUCUGAGGAAUGGGGGUUCUUCCAGGUAGUUAAUCUUUAUUAAUCAAUUGGAAUCUCCAUCUAAUCAAUACCAACUUUUCCCCUGUGCUUAUGAACAAAUCGUUCGUCGACGCCUGAUGGUCGAGCAGCUUACGGCCAGUUUCAAUUGAGCAAGGAUGAGCAAGAGUCGAGAUCAAGGAAGCUAUAUGCAGAGUAGUGUGAUUCCAAAAGCUAUGCUCAGAUAUAAUAACGGUCCACUUUGAUCCUUCCCAGCAUUCAAAAAAUCAGUUACCUGGGGUGAUUGUUAUUUCUUGUGCAAUUUGAUUCAUCUUCAGCUGACCUUCAGAAUUUGCCAGUGGAGAGAUUCAGGUAUCGGUGAAAGUCUCAUAAUUACUCACAUAUCACUUAAAGUUUGCCCCACUAUACCCUUACAGUUCACAUCACUUCACGAUCAGAUUACUGUUUUACCGGUGCAGGAAUCCAAUGAGCGAGUACAUGAAUUGUGUUAAUACAUUAGGUAUGACUCUAUUUGAAUUGCUGUCUGAGGCUUUGGGUCUAAGAAAAGGUUAUCUGAAAGAUAUUGGCUGUGCUGAGGGGCUUUACUUCGUUGGGCACUACUACCCACCUUGUCCUGAACCCGAAUUAACUCUGGCGAAUUUUGUCCAUAAUGAUUUAGCCUUCCUGAAUAUGCUCCUGCAAGAUCAAAUCGGUGGUCUUCAAGUGCUUUACCAAAAUCAAUGGGUUGAUGUCACUCCCGUGCCUGGAGCUAUGGUCGUGGACUUUGGAGACAUGAUGCAGGUAAAGAUUUACGUGUACUUUGAGCUC